UUACAUCCUUGACCGAGAGAAGGCUAUGUUAUGGGAGUAAGUAAAAGAAAACUUCAUGUUUGAAAAUAUAGACAAAGCCAAAGUGAAAGAAUGGGGCUUGAAAAAGGGUACAAUUGCGUUUCAGAUUUAAAAAAACCUUGAACAAAGGCUACAUAAAAAAGGGACUUGCACCUGAUUUCAAUAAGCACCCGAAGAUAAGGGAUCACUGGGAUUCCUUUGUACAGUUCAAGGAGACGAGCAAGAGCUAGUCGUCAACUCAAACCAACACCGGCAAUGCUCAGAAGAAGG
This 288-nucleotide long non-coding RNA is filed under the name Setaria viridis. RNAcentral's name for it is "long non-coding RNA (SVIR_LNC003766)". The record is from RNAcentral. Lineage: Eukaryota; Viridiplantae; Streptophyta; Magnoliopsida; Poales; Poaceae.